This 253-nucleotide ribosomal RNA is filed under the name uncultured bacterium. Its description in RNAcentral is "partial 16S ribosomal RNA". It matches the Rfam family "Bacterial small subunit ribosomal RNA", at positions 524 to 776 of the family's 1533-position model. The record is from RNAcentral.
UACGUAGGGGGCGAGCGUUAAUCGGAAUUACUGGGCGUAAAGCGUGCGCAGGCGGUUCCAUAAGACAGAUGUGAAAUCCCCGGGCUUAACCUGGGAACUUCGUUUGUGACUGGGGGACUUGAGUGUGGCAGAGGGGGGUGGAAUUCCACGUGUAGCAGUGAAAUGCGUAGAGAUGUGGAGGAACACCGAUGGCGAAGGCAGCCCCCUGGGUCAACACUGACGCUCAUGCACGAAAGCGUGGGGAGCAAACAGG